This 584-nucleotide small RNA is filed under the name Pan troglodytes (chimpanzee). RNAcentral's name for it is "retained intron". The record is from RNAcentral. Lineage: Eukaryota; Metazoa; Chordata; Mammalia; Primates; Hominidae.
UGUAGAAAAAAGGUCGGUUGGUUGGUUGUGGGCUCCCCCUCCCAGUGCAGGGCCUGUUGCAGAAUAGGCACAAGGAAAUGUUGGUUGAACGACUGAUGGUCCCAGUCUCUCGCCCUCCUUUGCAGAUCGAGCUGAAGGACUGCGCGGCUGGCUCUCCUCUAGUAUGGCCAAUGAAGAGGAUGACCCAGUUGUACAGGAGAUCGAUGUGUACUUGGCCAAGAGUCUGGCGGAAAAGCUGUAUCUAUUUCAGUACCCUGUGCGUCCAGCCUCGAUGACCUAUGAUGACAUUCCGCACCUCUCAGCCAAGAUCAAGCCCAAGCAGCAGAAGGUGGGGCUGCUCCCUGAGGGCUGUUGGGGCCGAAAGAGAGGGUGAUGAGGGUGGGAGCUGGUGGAGGCGAGAAGCUCAGAGAAGGAGUCAUUGGAGAAGUAGGAGAACCAGCAACUCCCAGGCCCUUGAAAGCUGAAGAAGGAAAGUGUCCAGAAAGACAGGGAUGGGCAGCUCCAGAGAGGCCAGGGACGCAUGAGGCUGAUGAAUGAGAGAAUGGGGCCAGAUGUGAGCUUAGGUUCCCAGGAUAAGACGAGGG